Molecule: long non-coding RNA, 209 nt
Filed under: Linum usitatissimum (flax)
Lineage: Eukaryota; Viridiplantae; Streptophyta; Magnoliopsida; Malpighiales; Linaceae
Description: long non-coding RNA (LUSI_LNC000169)
Source: RNAcentral
GGAGGAGGAGCGGCGACGCCCGCAGCAGCCAUAGGAGGAGGUUGAAAAGAAUGAUACGCGUUAGGGUACAUCUGCUGAGGAAUCGUAGCUCCGUAAGGUGGAUGAAUGGGAGCACCAGCGGGUCUCUGCUGACCUAUGAAAGACAUGUGAGGGUCAAUUGCGCUAGGAGGAGCUGAGAUUGAUUGGUUAGCCAUAUGGUUACUAGUGGC